RNAcentral lists this ribosomal RNA (950 nucleotides) under Aerides ringens. Its description in RNAcentral is "eukaryotic LSU rRNA". The stretch from base 379 to 534 matches the Rfam family "5.8S ribosomal RNA". Lineage: Eukaryota; Viridiplantae; Streptophyta; Magnoliopsida; Asparagales; Orchidaceae. The record is from RNAcentral.
AGUGUUCGGAUCGCUGCGACGCGGGCGGUUCGCCGCCCGCGACUCUGCGAGAAGUCCAUUGAACCUUAUCAUUUAGAGGAAGGAGAAGUCGUAACAAGGUUUCCGUAGGUGAACCUGCGGAAGGAUCAUUGUCGAGACCGAGACUAUAUCGAGCGAUUCGGAGAACCUGUGAAAUAAGCGGCGGCGGCCGUCGCCGCGAAGCGGCCGUCCCCACCGUCGCUCCCCCACCCCCUGUCUUUGGUGGGAGGGGGCCGCGACGAGGGAGGGCUGAAACCCCAAACCGGCGCAGACUGGCGCCAAGGGAGCUAUCGAAAAACACGAGCCCGUCACCGGGUCUUCGUGGGGUGGAGCGGUGCUGCGCGCCGCACGUACUGACACGACUCUCGACAAUGGAUAUCUCGGCUCUCGCAUCGAUGAAGAGCGCAGCGAAAUGCGAUACGUGGUGCGAAUUGCAGAAUCCCGCGAACCAUCGAGUCUUUGAACGCAAGUUGCGCCCGAGGCCAAUCGGUCGAGGGCACGUCCGCCUGGGCGUCAAGCGUUGCGCCGCUCCGUGCCGAGUCCCCACCAUCCCGCCGCAGUGGGGGUGCCGGGCGAGGCUCGGAUGUGCAGAGUGGCCCGUCGUGCCCAUCGGUGCGGCGGGCUGAAGAGCGGGUGUGUCGUCUCAUUGGCCACGGACAACGAGGGGUGGAUGAAAGCUGCCGCGGGCGAGGCCCGCGUUGUCCCGUGCCGGCCCGAGAGAAGAUCACAACACCCUCCGUGCGAUCCCAUCCCACGCGCCGCCCCCCGAGCGGCGGCUUGGAAUGCGACCCCAGGACGGGCGGGACCACCCGCCGAGUUUAAGCAUAUCAAUAAGCGGAGGAGAAGAAACUUACGAGGAUUCCCCUAGUAACGGCGAGCGAACCGGGACGUGCCCAGCAUGGGAAUCGGGCCGCCCUGCGGCGGCUCGAAUU